UACGAAGGGGGCUAGCGUUGCUCGGAAUCACUGGGCGUAAAGCGCACGUAGGCGGAUUCUUAAGUCAGGGGUGAAAUCCUGGAGCUCAACUCCAGAACUGCCUUUGAUACUGAGGGUCUUGAGUUCGGGAGAGGUGAGUGGAACUGCGAGUGUAGAGGUGAAAUUCGUAGAUAUUCGCAAGAACACCAGUGGCGAAGGCGGCUCACUGGCCCGAUACUGACGCUGAGGUGCGAAAGCGUGGGGAGCAAACA
This 251-nucleotide ribosomal RNA is filed under the name uncultured bacterium. RNAcentral describes it as "partial 16S ribosomal RNA". It matches the Rfam family "Bacterial small subunit ribosomal RNA", at positions 524 to 774 of the family's 1533-position model. The record is from RNAcentral.